GAUGAACGCUGGCGGCGUGCCUAAUACAUGCAAGUCGAGCGAACGGACGAGAAGCUUGCUUCUCUGAUGUUAGCGGCGGACGGGUGAGUAACACGUGGAUAACCUACCUAUAAGACUGGGAUAACUUCGGGAAACCGUAGCUAAUACCGGAUAAUAUUUUGAACCGCAUGGUUCAAAAGUGAAAGACGGUCUUGCUGUCACUUAUAGAUGGAUCCGCGCUGCAUUAGCUAGUUGGUAAGGUAACGGCUUACCAAGGCAACGAUGCAUAGCCGACCUGAGAGGGUGAUCGGCCACACUGGAACUGAGACACGGGUCAGACUCCUACGGGAGGCAGCAGUAGGGAAUCUUCCGCAAUGGGCGAAAGCCUGACGGAGCAACGCCGCGUGAGUGAUGAAGGUCUUCGGAUCGUAAAACUCUGUUAUUAGGGAAGAACAUAUGUGUAAGUAACUGUGCACAUCUUGACGGUACCUAAUCAGAAAGCCACGGCUAACUACGUG
This 497-nucleotide ribosomal RNA is filed under the name uncultured bacterium. Its description in RNAcentral is "partial 16S ribosomal RNA". It matches the Rfam family "Bacterial small subunit ribosomal RNA", at positions 28 to 507 of the family's 1533-position model. The record is from RNAcentral.